UCCUACAGCUAAGCCUCCACAUUUAGGCAGUGCUGUGUCAAUCUUGUCUGACCUCAGAAUCCAAGCAGUGUUGGCCUGGUUCAUAUUUAGAUGAGUGACCACUUGGGAAUACUGGGUGCUAUAGGCU
This 127-nucleotide ribosomal RNA is filed under the name Salvator merianae (Argentine black and white tegu). The record is from RNAcentral. Lineage: Eukaryota; Metazoa; Chordata; Lepidosauria; Squamata; Teiidae.